AGUUAAUUAAUUUACUUAAAAUAUUUAUUUUGAAAAUAAAAAACAGAAUUUUAUCUAUUAACUU
This 64-nucleotide transfer RNA is filed under the name Indomegoura indica. Its description in RNAcentral is "tRNA-Ser". The record is from RNAcentral. Lineage: Eukaryota; Metazoa; Arthropoda; Insecta; Hemiptera; Aphididae.